This 254-nucleotide ribosomal RNA is filed under the name uncultured bacterium. Its description in RNAcentral is "partial 16S ribosomal RNA". It matches the Rfam family "Bacterial small subunit ribosomal RNA", at positions 524 to 776 of the family's 1533-position model. The record is from RNAcentral.
UACGUAGGGUGCGAGCGUUGUCCGGAAUUAUUGGGCGUAAAGAGCUCGUAGGCGGUCUGUCGCGUCGAUCGUGAAAACUUGGGGCUUAACCCUGAGCUUGCGGUCGAUACGGGCAUGACUGGAGUUCGGCAGGGGAGACUGGAAUUCCUGGUGUAGCGGCGAAAUGCGCAGAUAUCAGGAGGAACACCGGUGGCGAAGGCGGGUCUCUGGGCCGAUACUGACGCUGAGGAGCGAAAGCGUGGGGAGCGAACAGG